AGAGUUUGAUCCUGGCUCAGAAUGAACGUUGGCGGCGUGGAUUAGGCAUGCAAGUCGAACGGGUCCGCCGCAAGGUGGAUCAGUGGCGUAAGGGUGAGUAAUGCGACGGCAACCAACCCCAUGGUUGGGCAUAGCCGCGGGAAACUGCGGGUAAUUCCCAGCGAUGUUUAGGCCGGGCAUCCGGCUAAAACCAAAGUUCU
RNAcentral lists this ribosomal RNA (200 nucleotides) under uncultured bacterium. RNAcentral's name for it is "partial 16S ribosomal RNA". It matches the Rfam family "Bacterial small subunit ribosomal RNA", at positions 8 to 210 of the family's 1533-position model. The record is from RNAcentral.